GAAGCACGCCAGACCGCCGCUGGUGCGCGCCCGAGAAGGCCGCACUGGAGGAAAGUCCGGACUGCACAGGGCAGCGCAGCAGCCAACGGCUGUCCACCGUGAGGUGAGGAUCAGAGCAACAGAGACGAGCCGAUUCAGUUCGGGUGCAACGGGCAAUCUCUGCGCGCAGCAACACCAAGUAGGCCAGCGUUGAUGUGGUCCCGCGGAGCUGGCGGGUAGGUGGCAUCGAGCCGGCGGGGCGACCCCCGGCCCAGAUUGAUGGCGGUCACAUGCGGGCAACCGCAUGCACAGAAUCCGGCUUAUCGGCGGGCUUCACAC
This 318-nucleotide RNase P RNA is filed under the name Comamonas sp. NLF-1-9. Its description in RNAcentral is "RNase P RNA component class A". It matches the Rfam family "Bacterial RNase P class A". Rfam says of the family: Ribonuclease P (RNase P) is a ubiquitous endoribonuclease, found in archaea, bacteria and eukarya as well as chloroplasts and mitochondria. Its best characterised activity is the generation of mature 5'-ends of tRNAs by cleaving the 5'-leader elements of precursor-tRNAs. Lineage: Bacteria; Pseudomonadati; Pseudomonadota; Betaproteobacteria; Burkholderiales; Comamonadaceae. The record is from RNAcentral.